Molecule: small nucleolar RNA, 131 nt
Organism: Meriones unguiculatus (Mongolian gerbil)
Lineage: Eukaryota; Metazoa; Chordata; Mammalia; Rodentia; Muridae
Source: Ensembl
CUGGCACCCAACCCAAGAGCUGCCACUGCCUGUAGUGGCCGUUUAAGCAGUGGUGCGCACAGCAAAGAGGCUUCGUCGCCUUUGGGGGGCUGUGCAGUGCCCCCCAAAGUGAAUCAGGAGGUUCUACAAUU